UUCAACGUCCUCUUUCGCCUUGGAUCGUCAGCGUGAUGUGGCCGUCGACGGAAGAGGACUCCACCGUCUCAUUGCUUCUGACCGGCAGUUGAUCCUGAAAUGUGAGCUGCUUCUGAUGUAGCAGGUACACAGGGAAGACCCUCAUUCAGCUGGGUUGCCUUGCCGACAGCCACCUCUAAUGAAAAGCACAGUGUAAUGUGGCAGUGAAAUUGCUUUGAGCCCUAAGCAUGGACAUUCCUAACCAAGGGUUACACUGAUGGCAGAUGCACCCAGCUAGAGCUUGCCGCAAGGAUUUUGUUACACUGAUGGCAGAUGCACCCACCGAGAGCUUGCCGCAAGGUUUUUAAGUGUGCUGGUGACUAAAUGGAGCAGCCGCUGUGUGACAAGAUGAGAGUUCUGUGAGAGAAUUCCGUGUCACAAUAGUUGACCAGCAUUAUAUUUAAGUCAUUAAAUCAACAAAACUA
Molecule: long non-coding RNA, 464 nt
Organism: Entelurus aequoreus (snake pipefish)
Lineage: Eukaryota; Metazoa; Chordata; Actinopteri; Syngnathiformes; Syngnathidae
Exons: 9
Source: RefSeq, a predicted model, not a curated record